This is an RNA transcript of Arachis duranensis, 1260 nucleotides long. RefSeq lists it as uncharacterized. The record is from RefSeq and is a predicted model, not a curated record. Lineage: Eukaryota; Viridiplantae; Streptophyta; Magnoliopsida; Fabales; Fabaceae. The transcript is spliced from 4 exons.
CCCUCCUUCCUUGCCUCAGCAGCAACGCAUACCAGAUUUCCUUUUUUUGAAAGAAAGAAAAGCAGAAAAACAAGAAGGGGGAGGGAGGCUGGGAAGAGAAAUCCGAGAGGGGAGGAGGGCGGCGCAACCGCCGAUGCCUGUCACCAUGCCGAUCGUCCUCACCACCGCUGCUGGAGGAGCCGUGACCAAUGCGUCGCUGUCGCUAAAGCUUCGCGCCGCUGUCCAACCGCCAUCGCGCCAUCGUCUGACCGAGGAGGGGGAAGAGCGCCGCGCCUCUCUGUCUUGCCGCCGCUGAACUCGCGCUCAGGAAGAGAGGAGAUGCGCGAAAGGGAGCCACUGCGGGGAAGCCAUCGCCGCCUGCCACCAUCGCCGAGCGUGGGACCGCCGUCGAACCCGUCCCUUGCUGCCGCCGUUGAAGCUGCGAACAGAGAAGAGGGAGAGGGAUGAGUCGCGAGGAAGCAAUGCUGCCCUUCCAUCGCCGCUGCUGCCACGGUUGUGGGAGAGGGUAUCCCGUCGCCGUGGGUGGUUCCACCACACUUGCUGCCGUGCCGUCAGAGUCUGCCACCAUGGUUGUCGGUCUUCUAGUUGCUGCUGUGGCUGUGGGUCUGCUGUGUAUGGUCGCCGGAAAACCUUUCUGCCACCGGAGCUGCCCUGAAACACCAUCGGAGUCUGACAGCGCCGUUGCCGGAGUUUUGAAGCCACCGGAACCACCGCCGGAGCUUCUGGCUACUUCUGUCGUCGCCGGAAAGGUUGCCGUUUUUCUAGUUGAUCCACCGGAGUUUCUGGCCGCUGCCAGAGCUGUUGCUGCCGCCGGUUUGAAAUCACAGCUGCAUCGUGUUGUCAUACCGUGUUGCUGGGGUUAUUGCGAAUGUGGCUUGAAGCUGAGGUUGCGGUUGUUGAUUUCAGGUUGAGGCGGAAAGGACUCUGUGAGACGUUUGGGUUAUGGAAUUUGAAUUUUGAGGAUAUGUGCACAGAAGUCACGAAGGGUUUAUUUUAGUUGUUGUUGAGAUGUUCUGUAUUGUCUUAGUUAUGGUUUAUUGUACCCUCGCCUUUAUCUUGAUAUAUUCUGUAAGAGGGAUAGGAAUUUUAUUGGGUAAUGUUUGUAAUAUUAUUUAUAAAUAUAUGUAUCUAUAUGGAUGUAUCCUUUAUGAGUUUUUGUAAGUUAUAUGGUAUCUAUGGAUGUACGCUGUCGAACGAAAGUAUUCUUGGGAGCGUUAUUGCGGUUUAAAGUUUUAAACAGACUCAUAUUUUAAUAUUAAA